Molecule: long non-coding RNA, 1684 nt
Organism: Astatotilapia calliptera (eastern happy)
Lineage: Eukaryota; Metazoa; Chordata; Actinopteri; Cichliformes; Cichlidae
Source: Ensembl
GUUUUUUCAAAAUAAUAACCUUUCUGACCUAAUAACAGCCUUACUUUUUUAUUUUUGCCAAAUUUAUUUUACAUCCUAUAUCAUAUAUUACAUUUAUCACAUAUUUGGUAGUUAUAUGCAUAAAAUUACAUUAACAGUGGUUAAAACAACACGUUUGUCAUCAAAACGCUCAAUACUGUGGGGACGAGCACGAGGAUAUGUUGUUUUAUGUUCACAUGGAAAUAACUUAAGCCUAAAGUGUUUUUUGGGUGUAAUAUUUCUGUGAAAACAAUCAAUAGAAUAACCUAGAGUACACUUUACAGAGAACAGCAGGGCAGUUGAUCCUGAAAUUGAUGGAAAGAUGGGCUGGUUCUGCAGUUCCAGAGAAAAAGCCAGGACUGGGGUGUGGGAAUGGGUUUUUUUUUUUUUCUCAAAUACACAAUGAGAGACUGCGUUGGCAGCAAGGCUGAGAGGCGUUUGUGUACCUGGCUAUCGUGGGUGCUGUUAUCCACAUUUCAACAUCUGUAGUUUUGUGAUGAAUCUCAAAGUAACUUAGCUUGAGUCACUGUUCCAAAUAAUCCCUUUUUUUCAUACUGAAUGAAUAUUCUGUCUCACAGUUUUAGCCCCUGUUAAAGCUUCCUUCUCAUAAAGCCUACUUUCCUUUGUCCUUUGAGCCUGUGAGCUGCACUCACUCAACUUUGUUGGCUCUAAGUAAGGAAGCUUGACAGCCUGAAGCAUCAGGUCUUUAACUUUGCAUACACUUAACGCAUUAUUCAAAACUAAAUUAUGUUAAUUUUGUACAAAUUAAAUUUUUAUAGGCUGACAUGAAUCAUGAUAGAGAGUAAAGAUAAGCAUAAUAGCUCAUUUUUUAAUACAUCAAAAGGGAGAGGCGAGAUUGCAUUAACAACUUGCUUCUGCAGCCCAAGGAUGACAAAAAAAAUCUUAACAGCUUCAGUUUAACCACACAAAAGCGCUCAUUAUGCACAAGGUACUACAGAUGCCAGCGCUUUAAUCUUCCACCAAGCUAAAGUCCAGAGUUUCAAACAUGACAUAGAUUAAAUGCAUUUUAAGUGUGUUUUAGUAUUUUUUUAACUUGCAGAUGUCAAACUGCGUUCGCUCUUUGAAAUGUUGUGGUUUAGUAAUGAUGCUAAUACACAAAGAGUCACUUGUAGCGCGUUCAUGAGUAUUUCACCUUCUGGAAAAAAAACUCUACUCAGUUUACAAGAAACUCACUUGAUCACAGUCCAUACAGCGUAGGUUAAAGGCCAGCAUCACUAACAGGCCGGGUCAAACAGAUUUCAGUGAAGUCGUCAUUGUCGGGUGUUUUGGGUUUUUUUUUUUUUGUUUUGUUUUCUCCAAUUGUUACUUCCAUCCAUCUGAUUUAAAAUCAGACCAAACAUCUGUUUUGGAGAUGUUGGCAAUAUUUCAGAUAUUUGGGGGUGAAACACUUAAAAGUAUUUGGAGCACUGUCAGAAUGAGAUGUCCUGUUAUGGAAUAGUUACCCAUAAAUUACAAAUUGCAAUAAAAUAAAAGCCUUAUAAUCUGUUUCAAACAACUGUCCAUAAUUUGUGCCACACCUAUGGAAGAAUUCAUGUAAGAAAAAAGGUUCUUGGUGAAGCAGAAUGACAGAUUCAUGCUGGAAACAUUAUUCUGAUAACAGUCUGCUUCAUAAAUGACCUUACUCAAUGACUGGAAGGUUAAUACA